UGGGGAAUUUUGGACAAUGGGCGAAAGCCUGAUCCAGCAAUGCCGCGUGUGUGAAGAAGGCCUUCGGGUUGUAAAGCACUUUUGUCCGGAAAGAAAUCCUUGGCUCUAAUACAGUCGGGGGAUGACGGUACCGGAAGAAUAAGCACCGGCUAACUACGUGCCAGCAGCCGCGGUAAUACGUAGGGUGCAAGCGUUAAUCGGAAUUACUGGGCGUAAAGCGUGCGCAGGCGGUUUGCUAAGACCGAUGUGAAAUCCCCGGGCUCAACCUGGGAACUGCAUUGGUGACUGGCAGGCUAGAGUAUGGCAGAGGGGGGUAGAAUUCCACGUGUAGCAGUGAAAUGCGUAGAGAUGUGGAGGAAUACCGAUGGCGAAAGGCAGCCCCCCUGGGCCAAUACUGACGCUCAUGCACGAAAGCGUGGGGAGCAAACAGGAUUAGAUACCCUGGUAGUCCACGCCCUAAACGAUGUCAACUAGUUGUUGGGGAUUCAUUUCCUUAGUAACGUAGCUAACGCGUGAAGUUGACCGCCUGGGGAGUACGGUCGCAAGAUUAAAACUUAAAUGAAUUGACGGGGUCAUAGCUGUUUCCU
This 587-nucleotide ribosomal RNA is filed under the name uncultured bacterium. RNAcentral describes it as "partial 16S ribosomal RNA". It matches the Rfam family "Bacterial small subunit ribosomal RNA", at positions 355 to 1375 of the family's 1533-position model. The record is from RNAcentral.